UCUGCCCGCUGGCGGCGUGCCUAAUACAUGCAAGUCGAGCGAACAGAUGAGGAGCUUGCUCCUCUGACGUUAGCGGCGGACGGGUGAGUAACACGUGGAUAACCUACCUAUAAGACUGGGAUAACUUCGGGAAACCGGAGCUAAUACCGGAUAAUAUAUUGAACCGCAUGGUUCAAUAGUGAAAGACGGUUUUGCUGUCACUUAUAGAUGGAUCCGCGCCGCAUUAGCUAGUUGGUAAGGUAACGGCUUACCAAGGCAACGAUGCGUAGCCGACCUGAGAGGGUGAUCGGCCACACUGGAACUGAGACACGGUCCAGACUCCUACGGGAGGCAGCAGUAGGGAAUCUUCCGCAAUGGGCGAAAGCCUGACGGAGCAACGCCGCGUGAGUGAUGAAGGUCUUCGGAUCGUAAAACUCUGUUAUUAGGGAAGAACAAAUGUGUAAGUAACUAUGCACGUCUUGACGGUACCUAAUCAGAAAGCCACGGCUAACUACGUG
Molecule: ribosomal RNA, 497 nt
Filed under: uncultured bacterium
Lineage: Bacteria
Description: partial 16S ribosomal RNA
Rfam family: Bacterial small subunit ribosomal RNA
Source: RNAcentral